GAUGAAGAACGUAGUGAAAUGCGAUAAGUAGUGUGAAUUGCAGAAUUCAGUGAAUCAUCGAAUCUUUGAACGCACAUUGCGCCCGCCAGUAUUCUGGCGGGCAUGCCUGUCCGAGCGUCAUUUCAACCCUCAAGCCCCAGCCGGCUUGGUGUUGGGGACCGGCCCCGGCCGCCCCCCAAAUGCAGUGGCGACCUCGCCGCAGCCUCCCCUGCGUAGUAGCACAACCUCGCACCGGAGCGCGGAGACGGUCACGCCGUAAAACGCCCAACUUCUCAGAGUUGACCUCGGAUCAGGUAGGAAUACCCGCUGAACUUAAGCAUAUCAAUAAGCGGAGGA
RNAcentral lists this unclassified non-coding RNA (336 nucleotides) under soil metagenome. RNAcentral describes it as "partial contains 5.8S ribosomal RNA, internal transcribed spacer 2, and large subunit ribosomal RNA". The stretch from base 1 to 120 matches the Rfam family "5.8S ribosomal RNA", at positions 35 to 154 of the family's 154-position model. The record is from RNAcentral.